RNAcentral lists this ribosomal RNA (253 nucleotides) under uncultured bacterium. RNAcentral's name for it is "partial 16S ribosomal RNA". It matches the Rfam family "Bacterial small subunit ribosomal RNA", at positions 524 to 776 of the family's 1533-position model. The record is from RNAcentral.
UACAGAGGGGGCAAGCGUUGUUCGGAAUUACUGGGCGUAAAGGGCGCGUAGGUGGCCUUCUAAGUUGAACGUGAAAUCCCUGGGCUCAACCCAGGAACUGCGUCCAAGACUGGGAGGCUUGAAUCCGGGAGAGGGAUGCGGAAUUCCAGGUGUAGCGGUGAAAUGCGUAGUUAUCUGGAGGAACACCGGUGGCGAAGGCGGCAUCCUGGACCGGUAUUGACACUGAGGCGCGAAAGCCAGGGGAGCAAACGGG